This 218-nucleotide long non-coding RNA is filed under the name Homo sapiens (human). Its description in RNAcentral is "non-protein coding lnc-ZNF518A-6:1". Lineage: Eukaryota; Metazoa; Chordata; Mammalia; Primates; Hominidae. The record is from RNAcentral.
GUCCAUCUCCUCAAGCAUUUUCCUUUGUGUUACAACCAAUCCAAUUAUACUCUUUUAGUUAUUUUAAAAUGUACAGUUAAGUUAUUAUUGACUAUAGUCCUCCUGUUGUGCUAUCAAAUACUAGGUCUUGUUCAUUCUUUCUCACAAUUUUUUUUGUACCCAUUAACUAUCCCCACCUCCCUGCCAUCCCUGCCGCCCACCCCAGAGGAAUCUUGUGU